AGAGUUUGAUCAUGGGCUCAGAACGAAACGCUGGCGGCGUGGAUAAGACAUGCAAGUCGGACGAGAUUUUUCGUUGUAGCAAUACGAUGGAAAGUCUAGUGGCGAACGGGUGCUUAACACGUGGGCAACCUGCCAUGAAGUGGGGGACAGCUCGCCGAAAGGCGAAUUAAUACCGCAUGUGAUUAGAGAGGACAUCCUUUCGAAAUUAAAGUCGGGGCAACCUGACGCUUCUUGUGGGGCCCGCGGCCUAUCAGCUAGUUGGUGAGGUAACGGCUCACCAAGGCUUUGACGGGUAGCUGGUCUGAGAGGACGACCAGCCACACUGGGACUGAGACACGGCCCAGACACCUACGGGUGGCAGCAGUCGAGAAUUUUUGACAAUGGGGGAAACCCUGAUCGAGCGACGCCGCGUGGAGGAUGAAGGUCUUCGGAUUGUAAACUCCUGUCAUUGGGGAACAAUGCACAGAUAUUAACUGUAUUUGUGUUGAUAGUACCCGAAGAGGAAGAGACGGCUAACUCUGUGCCAGCAGCCGCGGUA
RNAcentral lists this ribosomal RNA (538 nucleotides) under uncultured Verrucomicrobiota bacterium. RNAcentral describes it as "bacterial SSU rRNA". It matches the Rfam family "Bacterial small subunit ribosomal RNA", at positions 8 to 522 of the family's 1533-position model. The record is from RNAcentral. Lineage: Bacteria; Pseudomonadati; Verrucomicrobiota.